RNAcentral lists this non-coding RNA (21 nucleotides) under Arabidopsis thaliana (thale cress). Lineage: Eukaryota; Viridiplantae; Streptophyta; Magnoliopsida; Brassicales; Brassicaceae. The record is from RNAcentral.
GGGCACGUCUGCCUGGGUGUC